AGGUCAGUAUGCGUGGAUGUGUGUGCGUUCCUGCUUUCAUGGGUGUGUUUAUGUCUUCAUUCAUUCUUAUAUCUGUCAUGUUUUCUUAGAGGUGGUUCAGAUCCUUGUUUAGGUUCUUGUUUAGCAGUACCAGUCUGCCAGUCUUGUUCCGGAUAUUUAGUCUGUAGCAGUACCAGUCUGCCAGUCUUGUUUAGGUUAUUUAGUCUGUAGCAGUACCAGUCUGCCAGUCUUGUUUAGGUUAUUUAGUCUGUAGCAGUACUAGUCUGCCAGUCUUGUUCCGGAUAUUUAGUCUGUAGCAGUACUAGUCUGCCAGUCUUGUUCCGGAUAUUUAAUCUGUAGCAGUACUAGUCUGCCAGUCUUAUUCCGGAUAUUUAGUCUGUAGCAGUACUAGUCUGCCAGUCUUGUUUAGGUUAUUUAGUCUGUAGCAGUACUAGUCUGCCAGUCUUGUUCCGGAUAUUUAGUCUGUAGCAGUACUAGUCUGCCAGUCUUGUUCCGGAUAUUUAGUCUGUAGCAGUACUAGUCUGCCAGUCUUGUUUAGGUUAUUUAGUCUGUAGCAGUACUAGUCUGCCAGUCUUGUUCCGGAUAUUUAGUCUGUAGCAAUACCAGUCUGCCAGUCUUUGCCAGAUGAGCUGGACUGUGGCCUGGAAUGUUGAUUUGGGGGGUGGAAUUUGUGAAAUUGGUGUUGGAUGGGAACCUGCCUGCAUCGUGUGUUGGAUGGGAACCUGCCUGCAUCGUGUGUUGUGCAUCUAAAUCAGAUUAUAUUUCCUCUUCCCUUUUCUCUUUUCUCCUCUCCUUCCCAUCCUCUUUCCUCUCCUCCCUCUUUCUCUCCUUUUUCUUCUAUUUUCUUCUCCUCUUCUGUCCUCUGCCCUUCCUCUCAUCUUGUCUUUCUUCCCCUGUUCUCUCUCCUCUCCUCUCUCUUCAUCUCUCCUAUUUUCUCCUUUCCUCUCUCUCCUGUCCUCUCCUCUCCUUUCUCUCCUAAUCUCCUUUCUCCUCUCUGUCUCCUUUCUCUCCUCUCCUCCCUGUCAAAGGAGCAACACUAUGGCAACAGUGAGUCAUCCUCUAUAACACAGCCAACCAAUUAAACGCAGAGUUAGUCUUAUAAAAAAAAUAUUAAAAAAAUACUAUUUUGCCAGGCAACAACCAGUGGUGUUCCAGAACUUAAUUUACUUCAGGAAUUACCUGCCGCCCCACGCAAGGCAGCCACACGGUAAUGCCAUGGCACACUGAAAGAGGGCAUGUAAGAUUAUGUGAAUAUGUGUCAUUGCCAUGACUGCACUUAAAUGCACUCCACAGACGUUUUAACUGGUCUAGACUCUAGACCAUUCAUUCCAACUGGCAUAAUCAUGUGAAUGCAUGAUUCUUUUAGUUUUAUUCACCAGAGCAGGAAGCGACG
This 1393-nucleotide long non-coding RNA is filed under the name Salmo salar (Atlantic salmon). RNAcentral describes it as "lncRNA (ENSSSAG00000108457.1)". The record is from RNAcentral. Lineage: Eukaryota; Metazoa; Chordata; Actinopteri; Salmoniformes; Salmonidae.